CGCCUCAAAACAUGGCGCUCUUGAUCUACAUUCUGGUGCUCUUGUGGACUCCUCUAUCAAUUUCAGCAGGUGAUGAUUGUAAGGUGCACUAUAAAGAUGAUGGUGAGACGACGGUGCGGGGACGCAUCUGCUGGGGUAGUGAACACUGUUGUGGUAGCUGUGAGCACCGACACUGCUGUUCCCACUCCGAUAUAUUCACUGAAGAUGCUCAAGAGCAGUGCUACAACAGUCUGACCAAACACUCUGAACAUCGGACAGCUAUGAGAAUUGCUGGAAUAGUUUCGGGUUUCGUCAUCCUUAUCGUGCUCAUGGUGUGCUGGCGAGUCCCCUCCUGCUGGAUAUAUAAAAUGUGCCGCAUGCCCCAACGUGAGUCCAACUGCAUGAAAACCAUUAACCAUGUGGUCAUUGCUAGACUAACACACAGUUUUUUGUUAACUGGAGAUGCACCCCCUCUUUGUAAUUUUUGUUGUAGCCCUCUAUCUAUUAAGCAUAUUUUAACUUGCUCUGCACUGAAAAUGAAAAGGAAGCAGUUUUUUAAGAAAUACUGUUUUUGAUUUUUUUAAUAAGGUCCCACCUUUAAAGGUUUUAAACAUUUUAGAAUGUAUUGAUGUUAAAAAAAUGUAUUCAAUCUCUUCAUUUAUAUGGUUGUCAGUUGCAGUUGUAGUUGUAAAUGUGAUCUGAUGUUUUUUUUCUAUGUGUAUUGGCCAUGAUAUAGCCAUAGUUGCUGAAAUGGCAAUAAAUGUAAUCAAUCAAUCAACCAUUAACCAUGUGAACGAAUGAUGGGGUGUGCAAAUAGUGCCCUGACACAUUGCCAGAUACAGUAACUUGCCAGAGACAAGUUGAUGCACGCAACCUUCUGAUCAUCAAGCCAAUGUGUUAUGGUUGUAUGCAACCUGAACCUUCCUUAGGCCAUAUUUGAUACUAGAAACACUGAAGAUGGUCGCACACGACUGAAACGUGCCGGUUUGAUGACCCAUGUAAAAGAA
Long non-coding RNA from Engraulis encrasicolus (European anchovy), 986 nucleotides. RefSeq lists it as uncharacterized. The transcript has 3 exons. NCBI's taxonomy places the organism in Eukaryota, Metazoa, Chordata, Actinopteri, Clupeiformes, Engraulidae. The record is from RefSeq and is a predicted model, not a curated record.